This 24-nucleotide non-coding RNA is filed under the name Cricetulus griseus (Chinese hamster). The record is from RNAcentral. Lineage: Eukaryota; Metazoa; Chordata; Mammalia; Rodentia; Cricetidae.
UUUGGAGCCUGUCCUGGAACUCGC